Molecule: ribosomal RNA, 121 nt
Organism: Pteropus vampyrus (large flying fox)
Lineage: Eukaryota; Metazoa; Chordata; Mammalia; Chiroptera; Pteropodidae
Source: Ensembl
ACUCACAUCUCAAAAUAACCAAGAACGAGCCCGAUCCUGUCUGAUCCUGGAAGUUAAGCAGGGUCGUGCCUGGUUAGUACUUGGAUGGAAGACCACCUAGGAAGACCAGGUGCUGUAGGCA